AACGAACGCUAUCGGUAUGCUUAACACAUGCAAGUCGGACGGACUAAUUAGGGCUUGCUCCAAUUAGUUAGUGGCAGACGGGUGAGUAACACGCGGGAAUCUGCCCAUCAGUACGGAAUAACUUUUAGAAAUAAAAGCUAAUACCGUAUAUUCUCUACAGAGGAAAGAUUUAUCGCUGAUGGAUGAGCCCGCGUCAGAUUAGGUAGUUGGUGAGGUAACGGCUCACCAAGCCGACGAUCUGUAGCUGGUCUGAGAGGAUGAUCAGCCACACUGGGACUGAGACACGGCCCAGACUCCUACGGGAGGCAGCAGUGGGGAAUAUUGGACAAUGGGCGAAAGCCUGAUCCAGCAAUACCGAGUGAGUGAUAAAGGCCCUAGGGUUGUAAAGCUCUUUUAGCAAGGAAGAUAAUGACGUUACUUGCAGAAAAAGCCCCGGCUAACUCCGUG
This 447-nucleotide ribosomal RNA is filed under the name uncultured bacterium. Its description in RNAcentral is "partial 16S ribosomal RNA". It matches the Rfam family "Bacterial small subunit ribosomal RNA", at positions 29 to 507 of the family's 1533-position model. The record is from RNAcentral.